GAUGAAGAACGCAGCGAAAUGCGAUACGUAGUGUGAAUUGCAGAAUUCAGUGAAUCAUCGAAUCUUUGAACGCACAUUGCACCUCUCGGUAUUCCGGGAGGUAUGCCUGUUCGAGCGUCAUUUGUACCCUCAAGCUCUGCUUGGUGUUGGGUGUUUGUUCCGCCUCUGUGUGUGAACUCGCCUCAAAACGAUUGGCAGCCGGCGUACUUGUUUCGGAGCGCAGCACAUUUUGCGAUCCAGAUCAACGUACAGCGGCAUCCAAGAAGCCUUAUUUAACGCUCUUGACCUCGGAUCAGGUAGGGAUACCCGCUGAACUUAAGCAUAUCAAUAAGCGGAGGA
This 339-nucleotide unclassified non-coding RNA is filed under the name soil metagenome. RNAcentral describes it as "partial contains 5.8S ribosomal RNA, internal transcribed spacer 2, and large subunit ribosomal RNA". The stretch from base 1 to 120 matches the Rfam family "5.8S ribosomal RNA", at positions 35 to 154 of the family's 154-position model. The record is from RNAcentral.